RNAcentral lists this ribosomal RNA (447 nucleotides) under uncultured bacterium. Its description in RNAcentral is "bacterial SSU rRNA". It matches the Rfam family "Bacterial small subunit ribosomal RNA", at positions 331 to 795 of the family's 1533-position model. The record is from RNAcentral.
CCAGACUCCUACGGGAGGCAGCAGUGGGGAAUAUUGCACAAUGGGGGAAGCCCUGAUGCAGCGACGCCGCGUGAGUGAAGAAGUAUUUCGGUAUGUAAAGCUCUAUCAGCAGGGAAGAAAAUGACGGUACCUGAUUAAGAAGCCCCGGCUAACUACGUGCCAGCAGCCGCGGUAAUACGUAGGGGGCAAGCGUUAUCCGGAUUUACUGGGUGUAAAGGGAGCGUAGACGGUGAUGCAAGUCAGAAGUGAAAGCCCGGGGCUCAACUCCGGGACUGCUUUUGAAACUGUGUGACUGGAGUGCAGGAGAGGUAAGCGGAAUUCCUGGUGUAGCGGUGAAAUGCGUAGAUAUCAGGAGGAACACCAGUGGCGAAGGCGGCUUACUGGACUGUAACUGACGUUGAGGCUCGAAAGCGUGGGGAGCAAACAGGAUUAGAUACCCCGGUAGAA